RNAcentral lists this ribosomal RNA (433 nucleotides) under uncultured bacterium. RNAcentral's name for it is "partial 16S ribosomal RNA". It matches the Rfam family "Bacterial small subunit ribosomal RNA", at positions 29 to 507 of the family's 1533-position model. The record is from RNAcentral.
AACGAACGCUGGCGGCAUGCCUAACACAUGCAAGUCGAACGAGACCUUCGGGUUUAGUGGCGCACGGGUGCGUAACGCGUGGGAACUUGCCCUUAGGUUCGGAAUAACUCCCCGUAAGGGGUGCUAAUACCGGUUAAUGUCUUCGGACCAAAGAUUUAUCGCCUUUGGAUGGGGCCGCGUUGGAUUAGCCAGUUGGUAGGGUAAAAGCCUACCAAGGCGACGAUCCAUAGCUGGUCUGAUAGGAGGAUCAGCCACACUGGGACUGAGACACGGCCCAGACUCCUACGGGAGGCAGCAGUGGGGAAUAUUAGGCAAUGGGCGAAAGCCUGAUCCAGCAAUGCCGCGUGAGUGAUGAAGGCCUUAGGAUUGUAAAGCUCUUUUACCCGGGAUGAUAAUGACAGUACCGGGUGAAUAAGCUCCGGCUAACUCCGUG